Molecule: ribosomal RNA, 252 nt
Filed under: uncultured bacterium
Lineage: Bacteria
Description: partial 16S ribosomal RNA
Rfam family: Bacterial small subunit ribosomal RNA
Source: RNAcentral
UACGUAGGGCGCAAGCGUUGUCCGGAAUCAUUGGGCGUAAGAGCUCGUAGGCGGCCUGUUGCGUCCGCUGUGAAAUCCCGGGGCUUAACCCCGGGCGUGCAGUGGAUACGGGCUGGCUGGAGGCAGGCAGGGGAGAACGGAAUUCCCGGUGUAGCGGUGAAAUGCGCAGAUAUCGGGAGGAACACCGGUGGCGAAGGCGGUUCUCUGGGCCUGUACUGACGCUGAGGAGCGAAAGCGUGGGGAGCGAACAGG